UGGGGAAUUGUUCGCAAUGGGCGCAAGCCUGACGACGCAACGCCGCGUGGAGGAUGAAGGUCUUCGGAUUGUAAACUCCUGUUGACCGGGAAGAAUGGGCCUUGAGCGAAUAGCUCGAGGCAAUGACGGUACCGGUUGAGGAAGCCACGGCUAACUCUGUGCCAGCAGCCGCGGUAAUACAGAGGUGGCAAGCGUUGUUCGGAAUUACUGGGCGUAAAGGGCGCGUAGGCGGCCUUCUAAGUCAGACGUGAAAUCCCCAGGCUUAACUUGGGAACUGCGUCUGAUACUGGAGGGCUUGAGUGCGGGAGAGGGAUGUGGAAUUCCAGGUGUAGCGGUGAAAUGCGUAGAUAUCUGGAGGAACACCGGUGGCGAAGGCGGCAUCCUGGACCGACACUGACGCUGAGGCGCGAAAGCUAGGGGAGCAAACGGG
This 430-nucleotide ribosomal RNA is filed under the name uncultured bacterium. RNAcentral's name for it is "bacterial SSU rRNA". It matches the Rfam family "Bacterial small subunit ribosomal RNA", at positions 355 to 776 of the family's 1533-position model. The record is from RNAcentral.